UCACAGCUUUUUGUGUUUACA
Molecule: microRNA, 21 nt
Filed under: Drosophila melanogaster (fruit fly)
Lineage: Eukaryota; Metazoa; Arthropoda; Insecta; Diptera; Drosophilidae
Description: dme-miR-1008-3p
Source: miRBase by way of RNAcentral